This 253-nucleotide ribosomal RNA is filed under the name uncultured bacterium. RNAcentral describes it as "partial 16S ribosomal RNA". It matches the Rfam family "Bacterial small subunit ribosomal RNA", at positions 524 to 776 of the family's 1533-position model. The record is from RNAcentral.
UACGGAGGGUGCGAGCGUUGUCCGGAUUUAUUGGGUUUAAAGGGUGCGUAGGUGGCUAUUUAAGUCAGUGGUGAAAUACAGCCGCUCAACGGUUGAGGUGCCAUUGAUACUGAAUAGCUUGAAAGAAUUGGAGGCUGCCGGAAUGGAUGGUGUAGCGGUGAAAUGCAUAGAUAUCAUCCAGAACACCGAUUGCGAAGGCAGGUGGCUACGAUUUAUUUGACACUGAGGCACGAAAGCCAGGGGAGCGAACGGG